CAGCCGCCGCGGGAAAACGAAGGGGGCUAGCGUUGUUCGGAUUUACUGGGCGUAAAGCGCACGUAGGCGGAUCGAUCAGUCAGGGGUGAAAUCCCAGAGCUCAACUCUGGAACUGCCUUUGAUACUGUCGAUCUGGAGUAUGGAAGAGGUGAGUGGAAUUCCGAGUGUAGAGGUGAAAUUCGUAGAUAUUCGGAGGAACACCAGUGGCGAAGGCGGCUCACUGGUCCAUUACUGACGCUGAGGUGCGAAAGCGUGGGGAGCAAACAGGAUUAGAUACCCGGGUAGUCCCUGUCUCUUAUAC
This 301-nucleotide ribosomal RNA is filed under the name uncultured bacterium. RNAcentral describes it as "partial 16S ribosomal RNA". It matches the Rfam family "Bacterial small subunit ribosomal RNA", at positions 509 to 807 of the family's 1533-position model. The record is from RNAcentral.